GCUGGUCUUCAAACGGGGACAUGUGCACGCUCUGUUUACACAUCCACUCACACCUGUGCACCCUCCGUAGUUCUAUGGUCUGGGGGACCCUGUCUUCCUGCCGUGGUUCUACGUCUUUACACACACUCUGUAAUAAAGUCUUAUGGAAUGUAUGCCGCGUCUAACGCAAUACAAUACAACUUUCAGCAACGGAUCUCUUGGCUCUCGCAUCGAUGAAGAACGCAGCGAAAUGCGAUAAGUAAUGUGAAUUGCAGAAUUCAGUGAAUCAUCGAAUCUUUGAACGCACCUUGCGCCCCUUGGCUAUUCCGAGGGGCAUGCCUGUUUGAGUAUCAUGAACACCUCAACUCUCAUGGUUCGCCAUGAUGAGCUUGGACUCUGGGGGUUUUGCUGGCCUGNGGUCGGCUCCCCUCAAAUGAAUCAGCCUCCCAGUGUUUGGUGGCAUCACGGGUGUGAUAAAUAUCUACGCUCGCGGUNGUCUGCCAGGUAACCUUUGGUGACAAAGGUUNGCUGGAGCUCACAGAUGUCUCUCCUCGGCGAGGACAGCUUUUUUGAACGUUCGAUCUCAAAUCAGGUAGGACUACCCGCUGAACUUAAGCAUAUCAAUAAGNCGGAGGAAA
Molecule: ribosomal RNA, 617 nt
Filed under: uncultured Tomentella
Lineage: Eukaryota; Fungi; Basidiomycota; Agaricomycetes; Thelephorales; Thelephoraceae
Description: eukaryotic LSU rRNA
Rfam family: 5.8S ribosomal RNA (bases 178-332)
Source: RNAcentral